RNAcentral lists this unclassified non-coding RNA (24 nucleotides) under Mus musculus (house mouse). Its description in RNAcentral is "oocyte_clustered_small_RNA10934". The record is from RNAcentral. Lineage: Eukaryota; Metazoa; Chordata; Mammalia; Rodentia; Muridae.
UAAGACAAAUUGGUACCAGCACAG